Long non-coding RNA from Pundamilia nyererei, 554 nucleotides. RefSeq lists it as uncharacterized. The record is from RefSeq and is a predicted model, not a curated record. Lineage: Eukaryota; Metazoa; Chordata; Actinopteri; Cichliformes; Cichlidae. The transcript has 2 exons.
UACAUCUUGCUUGGUAACUUGGAUAAUGGCCGCUAGGUAAGAUGAGCGGAUGGGCCGCGUCGUUUCAGCGUGAAGUGCUCACUCCGGGAGGACCGUUAACUCGGGCGGUGGCGAGUUAAAAUGGUCGAUAUCCGACCCGUAAGGCAUCCAGAAACAGUUGUACAUUGUGCGAACAUCGUCAUUCAAACACCACCCACUAUUAACAUCACGUCUUAGUGGUCAGUUCUGCCUACGGAUCAGAGCUUAAACUGAAACCAUGGCAGUGAAGGACCGCGUAGAGGCUGUGCUCAAUGUGGGUCUGCGUGUUCCCAGCAUCAUGCUGUUGGAUGUCCUCUACCGCUGGGAUGUCAGCUCCUUCUUCCAGAAGAUCCAGCGCUCCAGCCUUUCCAAUAACCCCCUUUUUCAGUACAAGUAUCUGGCCCUCUACCUGCACUACGUAGGUCAGUGCCACCUUUCCUGUAUUAAAACUUAAGAAAAUGUUUGGUGUAACUGAGACACUUUGUUUAAAUGCUUUGCAAUGUCUGUACCACAUUAAAGAGUUCCUCAUUUGAAAA